RNAcentral lists this ribosomal RNA (253 nucleotides) under uncultured bacterium. RNAcentral describes it as "partial 16S ribosomal RNA". It matches the Rfam family "Bacterial small subunit ribosomal RNA", at positions 524 to 776 of the family's 1533-position model. The record is from RNAcentral.
UACGGGGGGGGCAAGCGUUGUUCGGAAUUACUGGGCGUAAAGGGCUCGUAGGCGGCCAACUAAGUCAGACGUGAAAUCCCUCGGCUUAACCGGGGAACUGCGUCUGAUACUGGAUGGCUUGAGAUUGGGAGAGGGAUGCGGAAUUCCAGGUGUAGCGGUGAAAUGCGUAGAUAUCUGGAGGAACACCGGUGGCGAAGGCGGCAUCCUGGACCGGCAUUGACGCUGAGGAGCGAAAGCUAGGGGAGCAAACGGG